UCCGGAAAAGUUUAAAGUACGACUAAAAUCUAGGAUCAAAAAAUAGUUUUCGAUUUGAUUACUCGAACUUUCAGCAAAUAAUAACUCAAAAAGCGCCGAAAACAAACAAAACGUGAAAAGAAAAGGUGCGAAAAAUAAACAAAAACUGA
Non-coding RNA from Caenorhabditis elegans, 149 nucleotides. Lineage: Eukaryota; Metazoa; Nematoda; Chromadorea; Rhabditida; Rhabditidae. The record is from Ensembl.